RNAcentral lists this unclassified non-coding RNA (250 nucleotides) under plant metagenome. RNAcentral describes it as "partial contains small subunit ribosomal RNA, internal transcribed spacer 1, and 5.8S ribosomal RNA". The record is from RNAcentral.
GUAGGUGAACCUGCGGAAGGAUCAUUAGAGAUGAAACGAGUGCCACAGAAUGCUGCCGGUCAGGCAGCAGGUCGGGGGACCGUAAGCCUUCUGCUGGCUUUACUGGCAACUCGGCAGAGCCGAGUUGGGAGUAGAGCGGGGUUGUUGACUCUGCUCCAAACCAACUCGGCGAGGUCGACUAUAACAACUCGGCUUGCCGAGUUGCCAGCAAAAGUUGCCAGUGAAAAUUAAACAUUGAACACUCCAUCUA